This 282-nucleotide unclassified non-coding RNA is filed under the name Hevea brasiliensis (rubber tree). Lineage: Eukaryota; Viridiplantae; Streptophyta; Magnoliopsida; Malpighiales; Euphorbiaceae. The record is from RNAcentral.
UUACAUUCCAAUUGGCACUAUCCUAUUAGUCAUAAUCCAUAUCUAUCCAAGAAUUUAGUGCUAAAAUUUCACCAUUAGUGUUGUUCCACUUCCACAUCAAGCGGGCUAAAUAAGCAAAAUGAAAAUGGCAUUACUCAUAAUGAAAUCCUAGGACAUUCUCACCGAUGAAAAUGAAAAAGGCAUUACUCAUAAUGAAAUCCUAGGACAUUCUCACCGAUGAAAAUGAAAAAGGCAUUACUCAUAAUGAAAUCCUAGGACAUUCUCACCGAUGAAAAUGAAAAA